AUCCAUCUGACGAGUCCCAAAUAGAACAAAACGUGCUUCCUCGAU
Non-coding RNA from Schistosoma mansoni, 45 nucleotides. The record is from Rfam. Lineage: Eukaryota; Metazoa; Platyhelminthes; Trematoda; Strigeidida; Schistosomatidae.